GUGCACGCAGUCAGGCCAGGAAGGAAGCUGCUGCAUGAGGAUCUUUUCG
RNAcentral lists this non-coding RNA (49 nucleotides) under Gloeochaete wittrockiana. The record is from RNAcentral. Lineage: Eukaryota; Glaucocystophyceae; Gloeochaetales; Gloeochaetaceae.